UCUAAUAAUUUUCCAAAAAUGUAUUGUCUUAGUCCCCUUGUUUUGAUCCCAUGUCGAUUUACGAUACUACACGAUAUCAUUUAUACAACUUUUAACUUUUCCAAUUUCCCCUCCUUUCUCCUUCGAUAUACGCUCUAUAUCGAACAGUGUUGAAAGAGAUAAAGAUAGAUCGUGCGAGUAGCGUGGAUCGAUAACGAUUAAACCGGCGUGCCAUUAGCAACGGACAAAUAGAUUGAAAAAGUUGCUUGGGACGGAGAGAGAUGGAACGGGGCGAGUAGAGGAUAUGACAAUCGUAACGAGAGAGAUAAAUGGUAAACAUUAGUGAAAGGGAUCAAGAAGAGAAGGAAGAGAAAUUCCCACUGGUGACCUUAAUCUAGGAAAUGGUCACUAAGAGGUGUCCUCCACGCGAGGGUAAGCAAAGCGAAACACGGACAAACGACCUGAGAGAUCGUUUGGUUUCGCUUUGCAAAGAAGAAGAAGAAGGAAGAAAGAAGAAAGAAGAAACCAGGGCAGAGGAAAGGAAGGGGAAAGGGAAGAGGAACGACGUGGAACGAUGAGUCAGGCGCGCGUGCGCUUCGUCGAGGGGAGGGGAAGGGGAGAGAAGGGGAGGGGGGAGCGAAGCUUUUCCGAAAUAGGGUCGUGUAAAUUCAGAAGCAGGCCCGGUAAUUCCGAGAAACGGCGCCAGUUUGCAUUAAGCCAACCGUUGUCUCGCGGAUCGGUUAUGAAACGGACGGUUAUGCGCCGCCCGCCGGAUUUACCUUGCACACAGGCGGUCGCGAAUUAAAAUCUAGUUUGCCACGACGAGCACUCCUUUCGAAUAUUUUUCUCGGUUGCCGAUACGAAUAAAAAAAAAAAAGGAACAGAUUGUCUUCGAGAGAAACGAUUUAUCGAUUCGAUUAAAUAAUUGUUAAUAACUAAUAACUUGCAAAAUAUCUUAUAUUGUCGAAAGAUUCAUUUUUAUUUCAGCGUUCGUAUAAAUUUUUUCCCGCGUUUUCUCGAAUCCCACUUUCUUGGACAAGAAUGUGAAAAGAAAAAUAAUCCUGUACAAAAUAGAUCAAAUAUAUAUAUAUUUAUAUCAAA
Long non-coding RNA from Apis mellifera (honey bee), 1080 nucleotides. RefSeq lists it as uncharacterized. The record is from RefSeq and is a predicted model, not a curated record. Lineage: Eukaryota; Metazoa; Arthropoda; Insecta; Hymenoptera; Apidae. The transcript has 2 exons.